Molecule: long non-coding RNA, 6882 nt
Organism: Gasterosteus aculeatus aculeatus (three-spined stickleback)
Lineage: Eukaryota; Metazoa; Chordata; Actinopteri; Perciformes; Gasterosteidae
Source: Ensembl
CCCCCUCUCCUUCCAGCCAUACAGCCACUCCAAUUGGCCGCUGCGGUUAGCGGUUCACCGCCACCCACCGGGCAAAUUGGAGCAUCAUCACACCUCCAAGUCACGGAGAACAUAUGGAAGGAAGGCUUGAACAAGUUCACUGGCUCGACACGGUGAAUUAAUGGGGCCACAGAGGAGACAGAGCCGGUUGAUUGGAAUGUGGUAAAAGAGCCGCAGUUGUAAGACAGCGGCCAACACAAAGUCAAAUGAAGCCGAGUCAGAUGAGUGGCCUUUAGAUAUUUCUAAAUACAAAGCAGGAGAACCUUCACACGCAGUGCGUUUAGUGAUUGGUAAUUUGUCCGCAGCGGCCCGUGAAGGGCCGAGUCCCCUUCCAAAGACCUUUCUGAUGACGAUCAGUGGUCCCUGAGGGACUCCUGAACGGCCGGGCUUUGGCACCUGCUCCCGUCCGGGAUCACGAGGGAGGAACAGCUGCUGCGAAAGGCUGGAACGUCUGGCAGAAAAGGUGGGAAAGUCAACGUCUGGAAGGUUGUCGGGGGAGAAGCAGGCGCCGAGGACCAUGUAAGACGGCACAGUUAUCGCUGACAGAAGCUGCAAACGGCGCGGCACACAUCUCCCCGGACGGGGGAGUAAUCUGCAUCUUCAAAGUGCUGCCAGACAAUCCUGCGAUGGUGAAAAAACACAGAGGUUUUGAUGGAAAGGCCCGAGGGAGCGGGCUAGUCUGCGUUGCACACUGCACGCAUGGUGGCAAAAGACCCUUUUUCCUUUUUUCACUGACUGCCUACUGCUGCACUCAAACUACUUCCUCGUGAGGGAAGAACUCCUCACACACACACUUAGUCUCACUUCGUAAUCUCCGUGGGCGGUUUACACCAUCAGAGGCACAUCGGAGUCAUGAGGUCAGCAGAAGGUCGUCGGCGUCACGAGAAGUGAGGUGGCUUACUGUGAGGCGAAAGCGAGAAAAGAUGUUUUUCAACCUCGUCUCUUGACUUGUAAUGUUUUGAGCUGUUUUUACCAAUCAGCAGUUCCCCCAAAUACAAAGAGUCAAAAGCAAAUCAGGCCAAACUUUCCUCUAAAGUCUCCCCAAACAAACCCUUCACCAAAUUCUAGCUUACACAGCUGAGCCAGUUCUAAUGCAACUUUUUAACCUGACAUUGAACCUACACGACGUGCUAGAAAGCACUAAAUUUACCAAAAAAGACUUAGGGGGGAAAAGCCAUGAAUGAGAUUACAAAACUGUAAUCUUUGGAAAAGUGUCUAUGAGUAUCUUCUCUCAACAGUUGCAAUGAUGUUGUUCAGCUCUGCCCGUUUUAAAUGUCACUGGUUUACUUAUUCAUCAGCGCUGCAGAACUUGAAAUGCUCCGAGGUGAAGCCACACCUCGGGUAACACGGCACGUCUACCAAAAAAGCUAAACUGCAGGCGUUUACUCCGCCUUGAUGAUGUUUUCAAACGUGGUUUCUGGCGAUGUCGGUGUCUACUAGCUUUCAUCCUAUGAUGCACUCUGCAUUAUUAUAGUCAAUGCUCUUCCAGCCAUUUUUAUUUCAUUUGCCCUUGUCAGUACUUACCCCCUCUUCACUCCGAUGGAGAAGUUUCCACAGGAGGUUGCUGAGCAUACAUUCUUAACAGAAUCCCUUUUCAAAUUAAAUUUAAAUGACCCCCUCAGCUCAUAAGCAGAGGCUCUCCUGACAACUUAAUUCAUAAUUCAGUGCUGAGCCAGGGCCUUGAGGGCCAUAAUGAGGGCCUAAAUGGAGGAGAGAUGCUACUAAAUGGGCUGUUUGUUUGCGCCUAAACCUCUUUACGGGCCACGAGUCCACAGCUCAGCACCGCGUGGGCAAAGCGGAGAGGUGGAGGGCCGGGACAUUUUGCUGACCGCUCGGCUUUCCUUUGUCUCGGGUCGACGCGUGCCGCUUGACCGCGAUGAGAUUUGGGGAGAUCACAUCUGCAUUCAGGUUCCGCUUGACUUAACGGUUGGGGUUUGUAGACUACGCGAGGACAGCAAAGCACACUCGUGAGAUAUUCAUGUCAAAGAGUGGGCCGUGUGGAUGGCGACACAGUAAAGCCCGUAAACUAGGCCGCCACUAGGCCUCCAAGUAAUUGGAGGGAACAUCUGAGUCUGUUGAGCAGACUCCAAUCGGUGAUAUAGGGAUGGUUGUGGUGGGUGAUGAAAAGAGAAUACCGUAAAAGAGCGGAGCAUGGUGUAAAGGAUGUGGAGGAGGAUGCUAAAAGAGGAAUAAUAGAGGUGGAGACGACUCCAGUAUAGCGGGAGAGAAUAUUGGUUAACAGCCCUGCUGUAUGUUUCAAGCCGCAUCCAAAUGUCUCUUUAAAGAAUAUAAAAAAACCCACCUGGCAUGGCCACAGAAAAUACUCUUCCAGAUGGUGACAAUACUUAAAAUAUAUUGGACCAAACUGAAAGCUCCGUCAAUAAAAUCCCAUAAAUUUAAAGUGAACUUCUGAGGAGUAAACUGUCACUUAAUAAAGAAAUGUGUAAAUGCAAACCAACCGUCAAAAACAGGAACCCAAGAUUACCAUCCCUCUGUGAAAGGAAGGGAAGGAGGAUUUGCAUCACAUUUAAAAUUGUAAUAUCAGUCUUUGUCAUUCAGUGUGUGUCACUUGAUAAAUGCUCCCUGUAGAAGGUGUAGUGUGUUGCGGGAAUUGGUCUUAAAACUUGGCAGUUCGUCUCAAAGUCAAUGUGUUUUCCUAUCAGGUUUUCUGUUUCAACAACAGGGUCAGGUCAACACAACAUUGUUAGAUUUUUGUGUUUAGUUCUACAAUUUCACGCCCACUUCUCCACCUUCCACGGCCUUGUUGUGUACACUGGCGCUCAUGUGACCUUGGAGAAGUUAACUUAUGGUUUAAAGUGAGCUCUUCACUUACACACAUUGUGUUAAUGCUUCACAAAUAAUAGAGGUGGUUCAUUUUUUGUGAAGAACAUUGCUGGACAUAGGUAUCAUAACCUUGUGUUUUUCCCAGUUUAUUACCGGCAAUAAUAUUAAAUCCAAUGGAAGAAUACAAUUGAGAACCAGUGCAAUUCUUUUGUCCGGGAUUGGCCUACAAAAACAUCUCCUCCCAGCAGCUCUCUAUAACAGUCGAGCCCAAAGGUCUGGGCGUGCCACCAUUUACAGAUGCGCUUAAAUGGACAAAAAGGACAAAAGUCAUUGAGAGCAGCUGCCCCUCCGGUACGUCCCGCCCCUCCGCACUGAACCCGUUGCCAGCUUUGACCAGAACUCGUAAGCAUUUUGUAUUCCCGUCUCUCUGCUUCUCUGCAAUCGCUUUUUCCAAAGAUCAAAUAAUAUUUCUUGAGGGGGAAAGGGCAUAAACUUACCAUCCACCACUCAUGAGAAUGAACGCCUACAAAGAGCUCCCUUCUCUGAGGAGCACACAGACGGGGUUGUUGCUUUACAGCUGACAGGCGGACAAAUGUAGCAGAGGGCACUUUACCACUCGACCCCACUGCAGUGCUUCAGGCGGAGUAACUGUGGUAAUGCAAUUAGAAAGAAUACAUCAGUGCAAAAAAGGUUUGAUAGACAUAAAUGUUAGAUUGAUAAAUACAAUUAAAGUGGAUAAUUAUAUUUUAUGCAGAGUUACAUCAAGUGCCACCUGACUUAAUUUUGACAAAAGAAUCCAAUUUUUCUUAAAUAUUUGGUGGUGGAGUCACCAGCCAGGUGGGACUCUCAACAAGAGAUGAUUCUGAAGCAACCAAAGGACAUUUUACUCAGACUUGACAGCAAUGUAGAGCAAUAGAUGUGCUGGAGCUUAUGAGGGAGGCCUUGAAUGCACUGCUUGAGUUCACUGAAUCACUCUGGUGACUCAUAGCUAAAAGUGUCCUACCUCAUGAUUUCCAUCGCUUUAGUUCACAAAUUCUAAAGAAAACACAACACAAAAGAGUACAGUCAGGUUAUGUCUCUGCAAAAAUAAACAAAUAUAUAAAUAAAGACCCUGUUGGUCUCGCAGCAUCGAGCGAUCUACAAUUUAACAUGUAAUGAAUCAACCCGGACAGCAGAGAGGCCACCAAAAUGAGAGACAUUUCCAUCUCACAGUGUAAUCAGAGAGGAGGAGACAGUAGAAGAACACGGGGCUGCUGCAGCUUUACCGAUGCACAAGUCAAGUCACCUACAGUUUGCUUGAUUACACACAGACCACAGUAGCCGUCAACAUCGGAACUCUCCAAAUGCCAUAUUUACGUGUCAAUUUUUAGGCUCUUUUUCUUGUCCCCUAACAAUUGAAAGCAAAAGCCCAAAGUGUGUUGAUGUGUGCGUAAGUUGAACUUUUUGAUGUCUUAUACAUUAUGAGCUGUCCAGUCGGCGGACACCUGGUGCAGCUUGAGCUGCUAUUGUCCAUGCACAUCAUUACUAUUGUAUUGCAUAUACUUGCAUUAUUUUAUACCCUAUACCAUUUACACUAUGCUAGGUGCUGUUGUUUGUUCUUCUUUGAAGCGCUGGCCAUCACAGCACCUCCUCGCUUCCCGUCCCUGCAGCUGUUGAACCCCUGAGUGACACUGCUGUGUUCCCCAGUGUGGACUUGUGGAUGUGUAGAUGCUGUAGAAGCCUACAGGCGGUGGUGCAGAAAAGUGCUGUGACAGGUCCUGAGUAAAUAAAGGUCAACAUGUUGACUAUAAAAUGAUAUGUAUAUUCCUAAAUAUCCCCAAAUUAGCAUAUGUGCAAGAAUAACCAGUCAGAGAGAAGGAUUUAGCCUCAAUCGGCCAUAUUGUUCAUAGAAAAAGAGCUCUGUUUUUCUACAAAAUCAUUAUAUCUAAGAAAAAACAUGAUUUGUCAGCAUUAGUCCUCAGGCUGCUUGUUCUAAAGUUAAGGACUCCAACUGAGUUAGGACACAGUGAAAUGGGAGUGGAGCACACAUCUUCAGAGAGGCUGCCGUGUCCUCGGGGGUUUGUUGCUGUUAAGAGGCCGGACCACCCAUGUCCUGCUGUGCCAAUACCUGCUUUAACCGUGGAGAUUUGCCGGCGACUCUCAGCGGCACUCUGUGAUGUAGGUUCGGCAGUGAGCUCUAUUAAAAAGUCAUUAAAGCUGAGAGAAAGCACGGCGGGUUCAACCCUCUUGGCGAAAGGCGCCUCUGGAAAUUACUCCAUCCAUCAUAAUUACACCAACCGGACACUGCCUCACGGAGGCCAAGGGACGCAGAUCCCUUUAUGACCUCACUGAACUAGACUUAUGGAGAGGAAGGGGGGGAGGAUGUGGAGGAAGAGAACUAGAAGGAAGACCGGAGCAGAGCUGGAGUGAAGCAUUAGGAGGAUACGGGAAGUGAAAGGAGCAGGAAAGGUUUCAGGGAGUGAAGAACAAAGGAAGGAAGGAAGGAUGAAAGUAAGAACACAUAACCCUGUUGGAGUGCAGCUUAACGGUGAAGAAAGGCCGCUGUCAUGAAACAGAUGAUUAAAAAAGGGAACAAAUGUCCUCACUAUUUCACUGUGGGCUCUGUUCCUGCAGAUCAAUGGCACAGGAUGUGAGUGCACAGGAUGCGCCAACUGAGUUUUUGGUAAUUUCAAUGCCGGAGGCGAAGCGCAAUGCUGGAUAUUAGGUUGGAUUUAGAGAAAUGCAUUAUCCGUGCAUCUGGCUUCAGUCAUGGCCAAUCAGAUAAGCACUCUCCUUCCUUUUAAAGUUGGAAAAGGUUAUGAUGUAAUAGUCCAGAGCAUCACAAGCGCUUCUCUUGAAAGGAAACUAAUGUCAUUUUGUGGGAGGUGCAGAACUGCCACAAGUGAACAUAUGGUAGCGUAAAUAAACUACUUAGGGCUGUUGAUUGUGUUUGUUGGGAAACAGUUGCCCAGCGCAGGAAAUCUUAUUAGACAAAGACGAUAAAAGUUUUGCAGCAAGUGUAGUGUUAGCGCACAGUAUUGACUCCACGCUGUCCCAGUGCACAAAGGAAAGAACCUCGAUGACCCGUCGGUCCAUUAUGGAGCCUAUAGACAGACACAUUCAUAUGCACAGGAGAAGUACUUCAUCCUCUCCGGAGUUGGAGGUUGAUUUUAUUAAAAAAGAAUCCUUAGCAUUCCGUUAUUGACUCUCACUAAUUAAGAAUUUCCAAAGUUGAAAUAAGUUCUCUUCGUGAGCUCUGCAAUCAGGCUUUGUUGGUUGAGGUUUGCAGGGGCUGAGCUGACGUAUCGAUUAGAUGUUGCCUUUUUGGAAAAAAACACAAAAAACAGACCAUUCUCAGAGGAGCUUUUCUCCGUCAAUGCAGUCGGGAGUGGAGGUUUUGCAUUUAGGUGACAACGUGGUGCCCCGGCUGCUAAUAAGGACACUAUUUACUUGGCUACCGUACAUUACGGACUAUAGAGCGCACCUGAAUAUAAGCCGCACCACAUACAUUUUGAACGGAAAAAAGAUGUGUACAUAUAUAAGCUGCAGGCGUCCACGCGGCAGAAAAACGACUCCGACGUCUCCCCAUUGAUCCGUUAAUGGCAAGCUUACGUGCAGCCGCUCUGUGUCCUUCUCCGACAGCCAGAUUGGCUUCCUGCACGGUUGUAUAAGCCGCAGGGUUCAAAGCGUGGGGGAAAAAAGUAGCGGCUUAUAGUCCGGUAUUUACGGUAUGUGGUAUGAAGCGGGAUAAAGCCAGUGUUGGCAGGAGGUUGUGCUAAAUCGAUGGGUCCAAGGACACAGGUUUAGGAGAGUUGUGUUUGUGUCUCCUGGGAAAGCACAAGUCAACAAGGACGUUACUAAGUUGCUUUGCAUUUAGACUACGUAAUAAGCGUAUUUAUUACCGCACCUAGUUGUAUCCUCUGCAGACGCUUUUAAAACCACUUUGCUUCUUUGGGAAACACUCUUUGGGGUAGACGGUUGUCAGGUUUGUCUCUGUGUGGUCUAAAUUAGAUUUAAAGCACAUUCCUUUCUAAAUCCAACACAAUGUUCCUCUUACUUAUUGGGCUAUUUAUCCAUUUU